Molecule: non-coding RNA, 6608 nt
Organism: Varroa destructor (honeybee mite)
Lineage: Eukaryota; Metazoa; Arthropoda; Arachnida; Mesostigmata; Varroidae
Source: RefSeq, a predicted model, not a curated record
UAGGUGGUAUUGCUGGUAGCUGUCGUAGUGCUCGUUCCGAUCGGAAAGGUGAUUUUCUAAGUGACGUCGUAGACUCCCAUUUAACAAUGACAGCCAUACGCUUCCGGUGAGGUGUGCAAGCAUACGUUCGGCUACAAUAGCUUCGGCAGAUGCAUUCCUCUUGCUCGCUGUCGUUGCCGUCAUCUCCAUCACUGCCACCGCCUGAGCCCUUAUCGCUACCAGCGUUAUCGUUGUUGUUGUUGUUGUCGCCGCCACCGGUUGCAAGGCCGUGCGUAAGCCCGCCGCGGCCAUACAUCUAGACUACAGGGUCGGUUAAGCAUUUCUAGCAUCAUCCUGUGUUAGACGCCUAUAAACAAGGGUCUAACAAGCCCAAACGAUGACGGUAGUGUAAAAAGAGAGGGUGGAAUAGUUGACGUGAGCUCUGUCGACGACUAGGAACUACUUGCAAGUUAAGAACCUUUUGAAUAAAGGCCUUCAAAGCCCUUUCGUAAUCGACUGUUUUCUUCGUGACAACAUUUUGUAACGCUGACUCAGUUGUUCUCCUUUGUCACCCACUAUAGACGAGAAGAUACGCCGAGCUCGCAACUAUGGAUGGAAAUCCGAAAUUAAACGGGCUGAGCAGAACGAACAGUAAGACUAAGUGAAGUCAUUAUCAUUGGCAUAGCAAGGAUAAUUUUCUCGCAAUGCUAUCGUCGAGCCACCCGUUUCCGCAAAAAAUUCAACAGCUGUACUUACGACUGAUCGUCAUAUACGUUUAUCAGAGUAGCAUUGUAAGAUGUGAGCAGAAUUCUGAUCAGCAGUAUUUUAAGGUUCGGCCGCAGAGUGUCCAGCUUAUUGAGGGUCAGACAACAGAACUACAGUGCCACAUUGGUAAUCUCGGAGGGCAGGUUCAAUGGAGUAAGGACGGCUUUGUGCUCGGUUAUGAAUCAGUAAUACCAGGCUUUCCUCGUUAUCAAAUGGUUAUUGACGAACCCCGAGGAAUCUACAACCUUCGAUUAAAUCAAGUUACUCUCGACGACGAAGCGGAGUACCAAUGUCAGGUCGGGCCAGUACCAGAUCAUCAAGCGAUUUGGGCAGCUGCCUAUGUAACUGUUCUUGUUCCACCGAAGCAGAUUGAGCUCCGUCAUCGUGGAGGAAACGAUAGCAAAGUUGUCGAAGCGCGCGAGGGAGAACAAACCACACUUAGCUGCUGGGUUCGGGACACGAAGCCACCAGCCAAUAUUCGAUGGUACCGGAAUAAUCAACUCUUUGAUAAAGAAAAGGUUCACCGACGCGUCGACACCAACGGUGAUCGGGAGCUGAGUUCGAUCUUUACAAAGGUCGAAAUUUAUCCCCGGCAUGACGACUCGCGUGCCGCUUACACCUGUGAGGCUCAGCAUCCUGCUCUAAAAGCACCACUCAGAGCCUCACUCGUCAUGAGUGUCUUGUAUCCUCCUGGCGAGCCUGAGAUCCAUGGACAACCUGAGACGCAACUUCAGUCUGGUGACACUUUAACGCUGGCUUGUCUUUCUCGCGGGGGCAACCCACCGGCCCGACUAGACUGGUUCCGAAACGACGUUUCUGUACGUUCGCGUUACCGACAAGGAACGCAUGAGGCGACAGCUACCCAUAGCGUGGUGCUUGUAGACCGCGAUGACGGAGCUGUGUUUCGUUGUGACGCCUCGAAUUCUGUCACGCACCAGCCCCUAUCAACCGCCAUCACAAUCCAUGUAACCCCGCACAAUCGGACACGCCCCGAGGGCCGACGAAGGAAAAGAAAGAAGACAGAUUAAACUAUAUUGUCAAAAUAUAUAUAUAUAUAUACAAUAUAUGAAAAUUUAUAUAAUACAAUAGCAGUUGCAAGGAACACACUUUGCAUUAAUCUAUCCGUAGUUGAGUCUACUAUUAAUAGAAAAAUUACGUUUGAAUAACGAAUAGCAGCAACCAUAACCAUGGCGAGUCACCGAGAUCGAUCGUUAGUUGGUGAACACAAAAGCAGAUACCUAUAGUGGCCAUCAUUUUUGUCCACUAGCGAUUUUUAAAAAGCAGAGGCUGCCAGGACAGAUCGGGUAGGACCAAUAAAUAUGAAAAACAAAUAUACGUUUACGAUUUCAACGCUCGUAUUGCCUGCUUAUGCCGCGCUUGUUCGGCGAGCACUGGUAGCUAGAUGCAAACGGCGGCGAUUCUGCAGCUUGGAAGUAUCUAAGUAAGUCUCGACCGUGAUUUUGCAAUGCGAACACUCUACCCAUCCUUAGACGUCGACUACCCGACAAUGGCGCAUUCGGGUAAUUGCUUCUUGCUUCUGUUUUUCUAUCCGAGAUUUAUCCAAAACCGCUCUCGUUCGUAGAUUGAAAGGAAGGCGGGCGCAAUAGAUUCAUAUCCAGUAGUCGCUCUGCGUAAUUUCCCUGUGUGACGACAUCGCUCGCGUACGUAGCCGAACAUUGACUGUUCAUGCUGGUGAUCUGGGCUUAACGUGUUGGCGAAUGUUAUAAUAUGGAUGAAAAAAUUAAAGAUAGCCUAGCGCAGAACGUUACACUAUACAUAUAUUACAAUGCAACAUUUCGUAUCAACUCAAUUUCUUCUUUAAAAAAUAUAUAUAAGGAUAUUUGAUUUUUUCUCUUAUCGGCUUUCUUUUUUUUUUUCGUAUCGGCGUUGGUAUCGGCGAAACGUUUAUAUUCUAAUCUGAAUGAAAUAUGGAUUUUCUUGCCGAUCACAUUCUCUAUGUCUAGUUAGUUUAAUUGUUAAAGCAAAUUUUCACCGCCAUAGCUAGCAGCGCUCAUAGGCAACCGCAUAUGACUCUUCGUCGUUACUCUGAGCUACAACGAUGGCCCUCGAAGCAACAAGAGCGAUAUUAAACAACCAAGCGACAACGAUUCGAUCAUCUACCUGGCAAGUAACUGCCUAAGGAAGCCAGAUACUUUUUACGUUCUGUAGUCAUUCGAGACUGUGUAUUUUACCGUUAAGUGUAUUUUAGCAGUAUCAGCUAGGUGCGAUUUUCCUCGCUAGCAGUACCCUAGUUCUGGCUCGUCGUCGUCGUCUGUGGGUGCCAAUGGAGUUCCAAGCCGCGCUGCUCAUUCAAUCAGUGAACGAAGCUCAUACAUGCGAAGACAAUCGAUAACCCGUCAUAGUACGUAUUUUUUCUGUGAUAACUAGUUAUCACCAAAUAUCAGUGAAGCUAUAGAGCACGGAAACUGCCUCGCUGCUCAGUCGAUUGGGCAUUUUCAGCGGCGGCGGCGGCGGCGACUGGCACACCUUGAACAAAAAACAUGAAGCUAAUUGCGGGUCACAGCGGGCUGCUCUACUUCUGCUGAGUGUUAAAGGUCUUCAGUGGACAUGUCCCACCUGCAGAAGGAGCGCAAAGGACAAAUUUGAACCGAUAUGUUUCAAGAGAAACUUCUGGCUCUGCGACAGGACUAAGGAAAGCAGCACUUCAUGACGAAGAUAGCGACACACAGUCGAACGUCUGCGAGACAGGACAGCUCAAAGUAGUGAAUAAUCCGUAUAGAAAAGGAUAAAGCUCUAUAAUAAUUGCUAUCCCGUUAAGAGAAAAAGAGCACGUCGAUGGAAUCAUGGCAAAGACGACUGCCGACAGGAUAGCUCAGGCCAUUUUUAGGUUAAAUGUCACUCACAGACCGGAUGUGGCGCUCACCGUGCCAAACGUCGUAAUCAAUGUCGAACAAAAAAAGCAUCGUCACAGAGGUGCAGGCACUCGGUGUGGAAGGAAUCUUCAGCGACGCUGAACAGAUUUCAAGUACAUCUCUAGGAAGAUCCCUAGCUAAUGCAAAGUAUCUCAAGUAUCAUCAAGCGGUCUUUGAAAUGAAUAGCAAUGCCGUGACAGCUGCUACUGGAAUUGGUGUCACAAAUGCUUACGCUUUUGAGCCAGACCCCAUUAAGAUCAUUAUAUUUUGCCAUUCAUGUCGAGGGCGUUCUCCUCUACUUCAGCGGUGCUUGCUUUUAACUCUGAGAGAUUCGUUCCAGCUGGCACUAUACACGCAUUAUCACACGACGAAAUUUGAAUUACUGACUGCAGCCCUAGAAAAGACUUCGUGUCGCUAGCUACGGUGACCUGUAUCUACUUCCAUGAUGGAAUUCUAUUGAUUUUGUUUUAUGAGACGUUUAUCGAUACUUUAUCUGUACAAUCGGUUCAUCACAUCGAAAUUCUUUUUGACAGUGGAUUACUUGGCGCCCGCGAAAUGUCCUUGGCUGUAAUGAAGUCCAUUGAUGUAGUAAUCGACUGGUUCCAACGUACCAUAGAACUGACAUUCCUCAAAGAAAAAUACCUACAGGUUGUUUAGCGUGAGCUUUGCGCCUGCAGGUCUCUAUGCGGUUUGUUGUCGCUUCUUUUUUUUUUUUGUUUUAUCUAUUUCAUACUAUUUUUUUUUCCUACGUAUUUUAAACUUCUUGACUUGCGACAUCACGAUCCCCGUCUGGCAGAAGGUCGUCGACGACGUGAAAUUUCUUAGAUAUAUAUAUAUAUACCUAUAGAAGCGGCAAACGACGGCCGCCCUUCGCUAAAAGGGUUUGUUUACAUAUCAAGUGAUCACACCCAGCAGCCAGGUGAGUGAAUUCAUUGUUGCUACGGCGACAGUCUGGAAUCGUGUCGGGGCUUUCACCGCUACUGGGCCCGUUUAUUUCAACUAGGAGCCCUACUUGAGAAAUCGAACAACUGUAUCUUUCCUUCGUCCACAUAUCUUGCCUGAGGGACCUCUGGGAGCUUCAUAUUUUCGUGCGAAAUGACCAACGAUGCACAGUUUUCGGCAAGUCAUGCUCCCAACUGUACGUCGCCAAAGGAACUUGAUUAAUUCAGUAGGGAUUCGUUUGAAGAACUAGCAGAGUUUCAGAUAAAGACAAUUAGCAGCUAGAGAGCGGGUAGUUCAUGAAUGCCUACAAGGACAUAAACUGGGCCGGGUUGGAGUUUGCUUUGGCGAGUUCAAUUGCUUCGUUUUGUAGUUGAGUCUACUCUGAGGGCGGAGCUGCUCCUCGUAAAGAUUGUAACAGUAUUUUGUAGAAACGACACAUUGAACCCGAAGUUAACUGUAAUUUCUCGCUUUCGAAAUGAUGAAUCGUCACAUCUGACGGGACGAUUAAUCAACAGCAGUAGCUUGUAGUUCCACUUCGAGAUUGCUCAUAUGGUGGCUACAGAAGACGAAGUUUCGUAGUGCUCGUACGCCUCGGAAGUAAUGGACGGUUCCGAGUAACUUCCCCACAUUUGUUAGUAAGAGUUUAAGUUUUUCAUGCAGCACUUAUAAAGUAUUGCCGUAUCGUUUGACGUCUACCCCAGUUCGAUUGUUCGAAAACCACCUGUGCCUUGAUGUAAGCUUCAGCGAUAUCAUGUACAAGAUGGAAAAAACCAUUUAGUUUAACAUCGAAGACUGCUUGCAAGAUAAUGACUUCUGGGAUCGCUCAAAGUUUGCCGUGGAUAUUGCUAUGAACACUGAAGUCUUUACAUGGCUUCUGUCUGAAGCUACUUACAAGCCCAAACUAACUGAACGACUCAAGGAGCGGAGCGAAUAUGAUGUUAAAAUAUCGGGAUAAAAUACCAAAAUAAAAUGAAAAUUACUUCUAGAACAAAAUACACUUUUCACUGAAGAACCGCGACGUGCAUGCCCACGGAGGUUUAGUGGCGUGGCCAUUUUCGGCAGGAAUACAUCUGAUAAUUGUUCUUCUGUGACGUUCCUUUCGUCCGAAGAAACUUGCCGUGGGAUCCGCGAGCCUGCAAGAUCAACUCCAGCUAACAGUUUCAGAAUGAACAAUCAACAUUGCUUUACAAUUGCGGAUAAAGUCUCUGUACGACGCGACCGCUUCCGAGAACUACUCCACGAGGUCUCGGUCAUCAGUACCACCGGUCAGCCUGUCGAUAGAACAAAUGUAUUUGGCACCGCUGCUUUCUUCUACAUGUCGAUAAAGGUCGACGCAUUUGUGGCUCAAAAUAUUAAUUGGGUUAAAAUUGCAGAGAACAUACGUUUUCGACAGAACAACGAGUUAUGACCACAGUAAGUGCACAACUGCUAUUCAGCCAAUCGAACAGGUGUGGACAUUCACGUACAAAAAAAAAGUGACAGUACAGCCAUAUUACCUACAAUAAUAAGAUGCGAUUACUUCGGAACAUGAAGCUGAUUGGGGGUCAUAACGGACUACCCUGCUUUUAUUUCUCGAUAAAUAUGUGCAGCCUAUAAAGGAGACGCAAAGGUGAAGCGUAUCGAUCUCGGAGACGUCGUCAAUAUUUGUGAUCAUCACAUAUAUGACGGCCCCGUUUAUAUGCUCAUUUCACGAGAAGAUGCUUGUAGCACAGAGACAACACGUGCCGCCUCGAGAGAGCGAUAUCUAAAAAAUCGUUCAAAAAUCUAGGUUUGCAAGGAGUAGGCCGAAUGACACUAGUAGUGAUCUAAGAGAAAUCGUGGAAAAAUCGUAGCCGUUGGGGGGCUAAUGUUACAUCGGUGUAAAAAUGUGGAUAGCUUCUUUAUUUAUUUAGAAGGACUGGAAAGAAGCUAAGUUUAACGAUGCCGCAUAUUUCUUAUAGGGCAUACGUUGCUUUGUUUGAUCAAUAAUAUAAUUGUAUUUUACUAGUCAUCUGUAGAAAAAAAAACACCGAUUGUUCUAUAUAUUGCACAAAUUAAAUGUCAGAUUUC